CUUAACCUUCGGGAGGGCGCUUACCACUUUGUGAUUCAUGACUGGGGUGAAGUCGUAACAAGGUAACCGUAGGGGAACCUGCGGUUGGAUCACCUCCUUAACCUGAAGAUAC
This 112-nucleotide ribosomal RNA is filed under the name Edwardsiella anguillarum. Its description in RNAcentral is "partial 16S ribosomal RNA". The stretch from base 1 to 100 matches the Rfam family "Bacterial small subunit ribosomal RNA", at positions 1434 to 1533 of the family's 1533-position model. The record is from RNAcentral. Lineage: Bacteria; Pseudomonadati; Pseudomonadota; Gammaproteobacteria; Enterobacterales; Hafniaceae.